CAGGCCUAACACAUGCAAGUCGAACGGUAGCACAGAGAGCUUGCUCUCGGGUGACGAGUGGCGGACGGGUGAGUAAUGUCUGGGAAACUGCCUGAUGGAGGGGGAUAACUACUGGAAACGGUAGCUAAUACCGCAUAACGUCGCAAGACCAAAGAGGGGGACCUUCGGGCCUCUUGCCAUCAGAUGUGCCCAGAUGGGAUUAGCUAGUAGGUGGGGUAAUGGCUCACCUAGGCGACGAUCCCUAGCUGGUCUGACAGGAUGACCAGCCACACUGGAACUGAGACACGGUCCAGACUCCUACGGGAGGCAGCAGUGGGGAAUAUUGCACAAUGGGCGCAAGCCUGAUGCAGCCAUGCCGCGUGUAUGAAGAAGGCCUUCGGGUUGUAAAGUACUUCCAGCG
RNAcentral lists this ribosomal RNA (400 nucleotides) under uncultured bacterium. Its description in RNAcentral is "bacterial SSU rRNA". It matches the Rfam family "Bacterial small subunit ribosomal RNA", at positions 43 to 441 of the family's 1533-position model. The record is from RNAcentral.